AACUGAAGAGUUUGAUCAUGGCUCAGAUUGAACGCUGGCGGCAGGCUUAACACAUGCAAGUCGAGCGGGGGAAGGUAGCUUGCUACCGGACCUAGCGGCGGACGGGUGAGUAAUGCUUA
This 119-nucleotide ribosomal RNA is filed under the name Acinetobacter baumannii ABNIH19. RNAcentral's name for it is "partial 16S ribosomal RNA". It matches the Rfam family "Bacterial small subunit ribosomal RNA", at positions 1 to 119 of the family's 1533-position model. The record is from RNAcentral. Lineage: Bacteria; Pseudomonadati; Pseudomonadota; Gammaproteobacteria; Moraxellales; Moraxellaceae.